Molecule: RNA transcript, 1176 nt
Organism: Cyclopterus lumpus (lumpfish)
Lineage: Eukaryota; Metazoa; Chordata; Actinopteri; Perciformes; Cyclopteridae
Gene name: transmembrane protein 238
Exons: 3
Source: RefSeq, a predicted model, not a curated record
CGCGCUCGGAAACUCAAUGCCAGGGCACAAAGGCUCCCGCAGGCCUCCUGUAUGCUGACAUGGAUCCGGUGUACCGGGGCCUGGGUCGCUGCGUGUGCUGUUUCUGGCUCGCGGUAGCCUUUGACAUUGUGGGGCUGCUCGUGCUUCUUACCGGGGUGUUUGUGAGCGUGUUCUUCUACGAUCUGCUCAUCUACGCGGGAGCCAUCGUGAUCUUCCUCAGCCUCAUCUGGUGGGUGUUCUGGUACUCCGGGAACAUCGAGGUCCCCCCGGCGGAGCUGGAGGAUGACGUCGGGCUACUGAAGAAGGACCAGGGCGGGUGGAGCGGCGCGGUGAGGCGCCUCUCCAGCCGUGUGUCCAGCGGCAUCAGGACCUCGUUCCGGAGGAACGGAGCACCAUCGCGCGCGACCGGUACGCAGAGGGCAGCCGGGGGGCCGCCGGUGGCCCCGCAAGCCGAGCAGGUUGCCGUUUCCAUGGCAACGAUGAACCCACAGGGGGAUACCCCGCACAGUACUGUCCCACGAGCUGCAGGCUGUGACGUAGAAAUGCCGCACACAACGACAGAGACCUCCCCGACAUAGUGUAAGUGGACAGACUUUGGACAUAGAGAACAUAGAACGACUCAUAAUCCCAGAGACUUCACGACAUGAUACGGCCUGCCCCACACUGUCUUCAGCUCCACUUCAUGCUCAACUCUUGAUGUUGAUGUGUUUAAUGAGAAAUUAUGAAUAAUAGACAAUGGUAUUCAGACAAUGUGUUGCUGAGUACAGCUUUAUUUCAAUGUAAUUUCCUAAUAAAUGUUAUGUUUGAAUCGGUUUAGCAGGGUCAAUUCAGUCUGUGUGAGAUCCAGAGACAUCAGAGAUAUUGUCAGUUCAUAUCUGUGACUGUUUCUAAUGUACCUGUGAUGACUGCGUUGUUGGACUAAACUGAUUUGUUGUGAUUUUGUAUGUAUUUAAUGUGCUCUUAUAAAGGGCUUCUCCUAUCUUCGAUGCAGUAAUCAGAUGUGUUUGUAUACAUUGAGUGUCAUUAUCCGACAAUAUCUUACAUCAGUGGGAUUGGAUUCCUCUAGUUGAAAGAGUGAAUUAUACAAUAACAAUCGACAUUUAACCUUCAAAAUGUUUGCUACUAGUUAUGGGGUCAUAUCUUUCUCCUUACUGAACUCAAAUAAACUUAUUUGAA